AUCAACUUUCGAUGGUAGGAUAGAGGCCUACCAUGGUGGUAACGGGUAACGGGGUGUUAGGGCACGACACCGGAGAGGGAGCCUGAGAAACGGCUACCACAUCCAAGGAUGGCAGCAGGCGCGCAAAUUACCCAAUCCCGACACGGGGAGGUAGUGACAAUAAAUAACAAUACGGGGUUCUUUCGGAUCUCGUAAUUGGAAUGAGUACAAUUUAAAUCUCUUAACGAGGAACAAUUGGAGGGCAAGUCUGGUGCCAGCAGCCGCGGUAAUUCCAGCUCCAAUAGCGUAUAUUAAAGUUGUUGCAGUUAAAAAGCUCGUAGUUGAAUUUCGGGGUUAGUAGAUUGGUCAUGCCUCUGGUAUGCACUGGUCUCACUGAUUCCUCCUUCCUGAUGAGCCGUAAUGCCAUUAAUUUGGUGUUGCGGGGAAUUUGGACUGUUACUUUGAAAAAAUUAGAGUGUUUAAAGCAAGCUAACGCUUGAAUACAUUAGCAUGGAAUAAUGAAAUAGGACGUUCGAUCCUAUUUUGUUGGUUUCUAGGAUUGACGUAAUGAUUAAUAGGGAUAGUUGGGGGCAUUAGUAUUCAAUUGUCAGAGGUGAAAUUCUUGGAUUUAUUGAAGACUAACUACUGCGAAAGCAUUUGCCAAGGAUGUUUUCAUUAAUCAAGAACGAAAGUUAGGGGAUCGAAGACGAUCAGAUACCGUCGUAGUCUUAACCAUAAACUAUGCCGACUAGGGAUCGGAUGAUGUUAAUUUUUUAAUGACUCAUUCGGCGCCUUACGGGAAACCAAAGUGUUUGGGUUC
RNAcentral lists this ribosomal RNA (799 nucleotides) under uncultured Glomeromycotina. RNAcentral's name for it is "SSU rRNA". It matches the Rfam family "Eukaryotic small subunit ribosomal RNA", at positions 314 to 1114 of the family's 1831-position model. RNAcentral also lists the same sequence under 1 other name. The record is from RNAcentral. Lineage: Eukaryota; Fungi; Glomeromycota.